UCUCCGUAGGUGAACCUGCGGAGGGAUCAUUACAGGAUGGCAAAAGCUCUGUAACCACCGUUUAUCUCCCUGAACCUGCUUCUGCGAGCGGCCCCGGGGCGGGGCCGGGGCCGCAAGGGGCCCGCCGAAGCAACCUAAGCUCUCUCGCCUUAAGAAUCUCUGAGUAUCAUAUUAAACAAAAAAACAACUUUCAACAACGGAUCUCUUGGCUCUG
This 214-nucleotide unclassified non-coding RNA is filed under the name plant metagenome. Its description in RNAcentral is "partial contains small subunit ribosomal RNA, internal transcribed spacer 1, and 5.8S ribosomal RNA". The record is from RNAcentral.